UCUAAUAUGGCAGAUUAGUGCAAUGGCCUUAAGACCCAUUCAUAAAGAUUUUAAUUCUUUUUUUAGAA
This 68-nucleotide transfer RNA is filed under the name Agenocimbex maculatus. RNAcentral describes it as "tRNA-Leu". It matches the Rfam family "tRNA". Rfam says of the family: Transfer RNA (tRNA) molecules are approximately 80 nucleotides in length. Their secondary structure includes four short double-helical elements and three loops (D, anti-codon, and T loops). Lineage: Eukaryota; Metazoa; Arthropoda; Insecta; Hymenoptera; Cimbicidae. The record is from RNAcentral.